Molecule: long non-coding RNA, 713 nt
Organism: Megachile rotundata (alfalfa leafcutting bee)
Lineage: Eukaryota; Metazoa; Arthropoda; Insecta; Hymenoptera; Megachilidae
Source: RefSeq, a predicted model, not a curated record
ACAACACGAGCUUUCAUUGUUCGAGCCGCGGUGCUCGCAGCUCGAUAAUCAUCGUCCUUGCGAAAGUGAAUUUUUUUCAACGGUGUACCUUAACGUUGGCAAAUUGCCAACAAAUUGUGAUUCUAUAGAAUUCUCGUUAAAAAAUCAUUUAGUGUGUUCCGAAUUUAAUUUAGGUUAUGUUGAUGAAAACUGCGGAUAUUGAAAGCGUAACAUUUCAGAUUUAAUUAUACUGCUUUGAAGAACUGCUAGUGACUUUAUACGUCAUAACUGAAAAUGUGAACUAUUUGUUAAUUUCAAGAUUGAGAAAAAUAUAUUACGAACAUCUUCUGACAUCAUCAUAGAGAACUAAGAAUUUCUCGUUGAAAAGUCGUUAAGUGAGAUACGGUUAUUAGAAAGUCAGGUUUGAAGGUUAGGUUAGGUUGCUGAAAACAAGCAACUGCGGAUAUUAAAAGCAUGCAGCUCUGAAGAACAGCUGGUGACUUAACGUAACAGAAGUGAAGCUGUGAAUCAUUUGUUAUUUUCAAGAUUGACGAAAAUAUAUUAGGGACAUGAGUUUCUAACACCUUCAUAAAGAACUAACAAUUUCAGAUACCAAACACGAAAAUAUAAGUUGUUUGUUAUUUUCAAAAUCUAAAAAUACAUGUUUAUAGUAUAAAUUAAUUUAGAAUAUGUUUGCAAAUAGCAACUAAUAACUUUAAUUACCAAAAGUGAGA